CCUACGGGUGGCAGCAGUGAGGAAUAUUGGUCAAUGGCCGGAAGGCUGAACCAGCCAUGCCGCGUGAAGGUCAGUGCCCUAUGGGCGUUAAACUUCUUUUGUGCGGGAGCAAUAAUGGUCACGUGUGGCCAGACGAGAGUACCGUACGAAUAAGCAUCGGCUAACCCCGUGCCAGCAGCCGCGGUAAUACGGGGGAUGCAAGGGUUAUCCGGAUUUAUUGGGUUUAAAGGGUGCGUAGGCUGGGAGGUAAGUCAGCGGUGAAAUGCCCCCGCUCAACGGGGUGAAGUGCCAUUGAUACUGCCUUGCUGGAAUGCGGAUGCCGUGGGAGGAAUGUGUGGUGUAGCGGUGGAAUGCAUAGAUAUCACACAGAACACCGAUUGCGAAGGCAUCUCACGAAUCCGCGAUUGACGCUGAUGCACGAAAGCGUGGGUAUCAAACAGGAUUAGAUACCCGAGUAGUC
Molecule: ribosomal RNA, 460 nt
Filed under: uncultured bacterium
Lineage: Bacteria
Description: partial 16S ribosomal RNA
Rfam family: Bacterial small subunit ribosomal RNA
Source: RNAcentral